Molecule: long non-coding RNA, 361 nt
Organism: Pezoporus flaviventris
Lineage: Eukaryota; Metazoa; Chordata; Aves; Psittaciformes; Psittacidae
Exons: 3
Source: RefSeq, a predicted model, not a curated record
GUUAUGCCGGAGAGGUGCUGCAGCAAGAGAUGGAAGAAAACUCUUUAUUAUUGAGGCUUUGGCACAUGCUGUUGAGGCUCCAGCUGUUGGAUAGGACCCGGCUCCCCUUGAGGCUCACGAGGACUCAGCAGUGCUUUUUAAGGUCACUAAGUGUCCCACUGCCAGACUUCAUUUCAGAACCAAGACUCGAUGGUAAUAUCUAUAAGAGACAUAUUCCUGGACUGCAGAGUCAGUGAACUUUGAAACAGGAGCAAAACAAGAAGCAUCAGUAGUGCGACCUGCAUGAAGUGCUGGGGAUGGAGCUCAUCAGUGAAGCCAAGCAAAACUUGACGUGAGACUUCCCAUUCAGGAAGAUGAGCUU